RNAcentral lists this ribosomal RNA (253 nucleotides) under uncultured bacterium. Its description in RNAcentral is "partial 16S ribosomal RNA". It matches the Rfam family "Bacterial small subunit ribosomal RNA", at positions 524 to 776 of the family's 1533-position model. The record is from RNAcentral.
UACGAAGGGGGCUAGCGUUGCUCGGAUUGACUGGGCGUAAAGGGCGCGUAGGCGGUUCGUACAGUCAGACGUGAAAUUCCUGGGCUCAACCUGGGGGCUGCGUUUGAUACGUGCGGACUUGAGUGCGGAAGAGGGUCGUGGAAUUCCCAGUGUAGAGGUGAAAUUCGUAGAUAUUCGCAAGAACACCAGUGGCGAAGGCGGCUCACUGGUCCGGUACUGACGCUGAGGUGCGAAAGCGUGGGGAGCGAACAGG